UAUUAAAUUAACAGAUUCUUUUACUGAAGUGAAAGUUGAUAUCAGCUUUAAUGUACAGAAUGGCGUGAGAGCAGCUGACCUCAUCAAAGAUUUUACCAAGGUCAGAGAAUUUAGCGUUUAUACAACAAAACUAUUAGAAACGUAAUAGAAAUUGUCUGCUCUAGAUCCUUCCUUGUAGAGACAGAAGAGAUGGAAUUCUACUACACAGUUGAUUCCAUCUGUUUUUAACUUUCAGGAGUUCAGAUUAAGAACCUUUCCUUUAACCCAU
Molecule: long non-coding RNA, 268 nt
Filed under: Pan troglodytes (chimpanzee)
Lineage: Eukaryota; Metazoa; Chordata; Mammalia; Primates; Hominidae
Description: long non-coding RNA NONPTRT006034
Source: RNAcentral